Long non-coding RNA from Carassius auratus (goldfish), 408 nucleotides. RefSeq lists it as uncharacterized. The transcript is spliced from 3 exons. Lineage: Eukaryota; Metazoa; Chordata; Actinopteri; Cypriniformes; Cyprinidae. The record is from RefSeq and is a predicted model, not a curated record.
CAGAAGCAGCUGACACAGCAUCAGAAACUGUAGUCUGUAUGACUGCUGGAUCAUUAAUCAGAGUGAUUGUGAGUAUUGUAGAGAUUGCAGUGUUUGCUGCUCCUACUGUGAUUCUUCUUCAGAUCAUCUGUGUGAGAAGAGCUGGAAGGAAGAACUCUCGUCACCAAAAUGAAAUCGAGAUGUCUGCAGUUCUACAAUGAAACACCCAAACAGUGUAUACUAUAAAGAUUAUAGCAAUAAUUAUUUUAAUGUUUAUGGAUAUUAUAGAUAUUUGCAUUAAGCUGAAUGUUAUUUUCCAGUUAUCCAUAUUAUACAGACUGCUUUAAAUAUGAUAUUAAAUAAGGUCAUCAUCAAAGCGAGUCAGGUACCUUAAUAAACAUAUUUUAAAAUGUUAAAAAAGAUUUAAAA